This is a long non-coding RNA of Meriones unguiculatus (Mongolian gerbil), 6534 nucleotides long. RefSeq lists it as uncharacterized. The transcript is spliced from 3 exons. NCBI's taxonomy places the organism in Eukaryota, Metazoa, Chordata, Mammalia, Rodentia, Muridae. The record is from RefSeq and is a predicted model, not a curated record.
CCCAGCAGAACUGGAAAUUGCUAACGAGAGUAUGGAAGACAAAGUGAAGUUGAGCUGCCCGGUGUUAGCGGCAAUGGAAUACCAAACAUCUCAUUUUCUACAAAGCAGCACCAUAAUUCAUGAUGGAAUGGCUUUGCACUGGGGAUGCCGAUUACUCACACAAACUACUGAGGAUGUAAAAGGAAAAGAGAUGAAUCCAGGGGGAAAUAUUCAGACACAAACAGCUAGAUCCUUAUGUUGCUCAGCCAUCUUCAGACAAGUGUCCUCCUGCAGCAGAUGGGGACCAGUACAGAGAACUACAGACAGACAUUAUGCAGAGAGUGAGAAAACUUGGAACACUCAUCCCAAACAAGAUGUUUCCAUCAAAUCCCUUCCCUCAGAGCUAAGGGAACCACGCAGAAGAGAAGCAGUAAGAGUGUAAAAGUCAGAGGAGAUGGAGGAAACCAAGACAUCAGCGCUCUCUAAAUAAAAAUCAGAAAAUCAUUUGAAGCAAGGCUGGAGCAGCAAGCAUAGGGCCCACAUGGAUUGCUCUACGUCUUCUGUAUUUAUAUUUUGUUUCCCAGGUUAGUGAUCUUUGGAGGAAUUUCUGAGUGUGCAAAUGAGUGUUCUUUAAUUCUUGUGCCUUCUCUUGGGCUCUGGUCUUCCUGUUUCUUUGUCCUGUCCAACUUCAAUGUAAUAGUUAUUGUUAUCAUGUUAUAUUUUAUGUUGUUAUGUUUUAAGAUUAUCUUUAGAAACCUGUACUUUUCUAAUGAGAGACAGGAAGGAAGUGGAUCUAGAUGGAAAGGGAGCUGGGAAGGAACUUGAAGAAACUGAGGGAUUAUAUUAUGUGAGAAAAAUAAUCCAUUUCCAAUAAAAGGGGAAGAAAUUUUUUUCUUCCCAAGUUAUAAGUAGAGAAGAAUCUUAUUAAUUUUUAUGGGAAGUCUUAAAAUUUCUAAAAUGAAGACUGUUCUCAUAUCAGCUUAGACUUCAUAACUGAAUUCUCCUAUUACAUAUAGCUUGACCCAAUUGUCCACCUUGAAAAUCAGGUUUAGAAAAAAAAAUUCAGCUAUUUAAAAGCUGAAAUGUUUUCUAGACUUACACCUUUUAAAAAGCAUGAUGAGAAAUAUUUCAAGCCAAGGAAAAUGAACUGGCUAUCUAGAACCAAGGUGCCUUUGUUUGUUUGUUUGUUUGUUUUUUGUCAUGUGGUAAGUUUCUGGUAUGCAGUGCUCCAAUGUUGUACUUUAAUUAUAUGAACUACAGAAAUUCAAACUUUCCCCCAUUUUUGUGAUGUUAAUGUUACGAACUUUUAACAUUAACUCAGAAAAACCAAGAGCAAAACUUUUGUAGUGGUAAAAAAAUGAGUCUCCACUUCCACAAUCUACAAUGAUGGUGAAUUAUGUCCUGCACAGUACAUUAUUGGGCUGGACAUGUACUGUACAGGUGACUGGUUACCCCAGGCAAAUAGGUAGGCUCAUCCCAUCUCAUUAUAGACUCUGUGUUUUCUUUUCUCCUUGUGAAUAGCUUUAUUAUUUUGAGAACUGGAAUGAGUACAUAUCAUUACUGCUCUGCGCCUCACACUCCAGCUCCUCCGUGUCUCCGCUUUGCUUUCAGUUUUAUGCCCUCUUCUUUAAUUAUGCUUAUUACGUGUGUACAUGUUUACAUCUAUGUGCAUAUACAUGUUCACACACAUGAACACAACUUAUUUUUAAAUGUGUGCCUAUUUGUACAUAUGAUCAUACAUGCACACAUGUGUCUGUAACUUACUAAGCCCAUUUAAGUUUUGUUGUGCGUAUAGGUGUCCAGGACUGAGGACAUGGGAUUGGACUAUCAACGUUGGUAUUAGUCCAUGAAGACAAGCCAUGCUGCCUCUCUCAGCAGCUGAUCCUGUAUCUCUUCCUGUGGAGGUGGGCCAUAUACAGUUUCUGCGGUUUGCAGGAGCAUUUCUAAUGGUGUUAAAGUUAUGUUGGUCUUGUUCAGGCAAGCAUAUUGUUUGGAUUCCGUGGAUGAAUCUCUUUCCUAGGGAACACUACCCAGUAGCAGAUAUACUGGUCCUCUGGCUUGGAAAAUCUUUAUUACCUUCUGUUGCAAUUUCCUUUGAACUUUAGAAAUAGGAAUUGAAUUUAAGAUGCAUUAGUUUGGAUUGAACAAUAGUCACUUAUUAUUUUGCCCAGUUUUAGAUCUCUAUAAUAGUAUCUAUUUGUUAAAAAAAAAACUUUCAUGAUAUGUGUGAGUUAAAGUAAUUUGUAUAUAUAGGCAUAAAUACUUAGAAAAUGUUGACUUAUAUUGAUUUGCAGAGAAGAAAGCAAUUAUGAUCAACAGACCUAGAGGGCAAGGAUUCACAAGAAAACAUCUGCCCAAGGCAACUUGUGAUCUGUAUUGGAUUGUCAGAUCCAUCACACCAUUAAAUGGUGAAUUAAAUACUACACUUCCUUUGUUCUUAUUUCAUGGUCAAUCAACUUUUCUUAUUAUAAUUUGUGUUCCCCUGUAGCUUAUUACAUUGAAACAACACAAUAUAUAGAAGAUACAAGGACUGUCACAGGGGUAUAACACAUCAAUUAUCCUUUUCAUUUUAAAUUAAAACAUUAGUAUUUGUAUUAUAUUUAUGAGCUGUGAAUGAGUGCAGCCUGAACUUGCAUAAUAAUUGGAUAGGUUUUCAGAUACAGUGAACAAGGCAUUGGUAUCUAGUAAGGCACUGCAGCUUCGCUACAUGAGCCUCCUUGCACACGUAAUUAUAUAAAUUUGUGUGUGUGUGUGCACAUAUUUACAUGUGUCCAGGUGUUCUAUAUGUUCAGUUUAAUGCCAAUUAACAAACCAAAAUAUUGAGAUAAUUUCACGACAUCAGAACCACUCUUUGAUACAUCUUACAGGAAUGCAGUAACUAUAUUGAAGAGAACAUUAGAAUAUAUCCAACUGGAGAAUAAGAGAUGUAUGCGAUAUACACCUUAAUGUAAUAUCCGUUAGGAACAUAGCUUGUGGCAGAGGUGCAUUCGAAUGUGGGUUGUUUAGUAAAUGAUGCCUUUAAUACAUCCUAUAUGUUGCUUAAGGGCUAAAUACCUUCUCUGUACACAUACUAACUGACAUGGAUUUGACUGAUCAUUUUAGAUGAAGUAACCAUCUAAAAUUAAGCACACACACUCACAAUAUUAAGUACGGUAAAAAUCAUUUCAAAAUAUUUGAUAAGAAAGACAGAAGGAGAAUUAAAUCCCAGAAUCCAUAAUAAAAUAUUGGGAUACAUUAAACACAAUAAAUAAAAUCAAUGAAAAAUAUAGCUAAAAGUAUAAAUGUGAAUAGAAUGAAACAGUUCAACAACAUAAGAGAAUCAUCUCCAUGUACCACUGAGAAAAAGAUAAUCCAAAAAAAUAAUUAUAGAAUUUCUUUUAAAAUACAUUAAAGCAUUCUUAAUCCCAUUAAAAUUAUAAGAAUGUAAUAAGAUAAUCUGUUAACUUAAUCCAUAUAUCGCGAUAUAAACAUUUUUUUCCUUUUUAUUACCAUUUAUUACACUUUAUUUAAUUUGUAUCUCGACUGUGGCCUCCUCCCUCAUCUCUUUCCAAUCCCACUCUCUUUCCCUCUCCUCCCCCAUGCCCCUUCCCUAAUCCACUGAUAGAGGAGGUCCUCCUCCCCUUCUAUCUGACCCUAGCCUAUCAGGUCUCAUUAGGACUGGCUGCAUUGUCUUCUUCUAUGGCCUGGCAAGGCUGUACCCCCCAAGAGGGAGGUGAUCAAAGAGCCAGCCACUGAGUUCAGGCCAGAAAAAGUCCCUGCUCCCCUUACUAGGGAACCCACUUGGAGACUGACUCUAUGGGCUACAUCUGAGCUGGGAUUUUAGAUCCUCUCCAUAAAUUGUCCUUGGUUGGGGUAUCAUUCUCUUCAGGGCCCCAAGGGCUCAGUUUUUAUAGCUCUGUUGGUCUCCUUUGGGAGCUCCUGUCCUCUCCAGGUCUUUCUCUCUCCCCCUUCUAUUAUAAGAUGUCCUGUACUCUGCCCCAAAUUUGGCUUUUAGUUUCAGCAUCUGCUUCUUUACCUUCUAUUCCUUCAAGUUCAGUAGAGUUUUUCAGAGGCCAUCUGUGGUAGGUUCCUGCCCUGUUCCGUCUUCUCCUGCUUCUGAUCUCUAUCGCAUUUGUCCUUUUGAAGAAGGAUUGAGCAUCUUCCCUCGGGUCUUCCUUGUUGUUUAGCUUAUUUAGGAGUAUAAAUUUUAGUUAGUAUGUUUACCCUAUAUUAUUUGGCUAAUAACCACUUAUGUAUGAGUGUAUAUCAUGUGUGUCUUUCUGCUUCUGUAUUACCUCACUCAAGAUGAUCUUUUCUAGUUCCCACCAUUUGCCUGCAAAUUGCACGAUUUCCUUGUUUUUAAUAGCUGAGUAGUAUUCCAUUUUGUAAAUGUACCUGAAUUUCUGUAUCCAUUCCUCCUUUGAGGGACAUGUGGGUUGUAUCCAGAUUCUGGGUAUUAAGAGUAGAGCUGCUAUGAACAUGGUUGAGCAAAUGUCCUUGUUGUAUACUUGAAUAUGUUUUGGAUAUAUACCUAUUGCUGGGUCUUGAGGAAGCACUAUUCCUAAUUUUCUGAGAAAAUGCCAGAUUGAUUUGCAAAGUGGUUGUACAAGGUUACACUCCCACCAGCAAUGGAGGAGGAUUCCACUUUCUCCACAUCCUCUCCAGCAUAUGUUGUCAUUUUAGUUUUUGAUCUUAGUCAUUAUGAUGAGUGUAAGGUGAAAUAUCAGGGUUGUUUUGAUUUGCGUCUCCCUGAUGACUAAGGACGCUGAACAUUUUUUAAGAGUUUCUUUGUCAUUCAAUAUUCCUUUGUUGAGAAUUCUUUGUUUAGUUCUGUACCCCAUAUUUUAAUAAGAUUAUUUGCUUUGUUUAUGUUUAACUUAAGUUCAAAGAAUAUUAGCCACCUGUCAGAUAUAGGGUUCGUGAAGAUCCUUUUCCAAUCUGUAGGCAGUCAUUUUGUUCUGACAGUGUCCUUUGCUUUAUAGAAGUUUUCAGUUUCAUGAGGUCCCAUUUCUUAAUUGUUGAUCUUAGAGCCUGUGCUGUUAGUGUUCUCUUUAGGAAGUUGUCUCCUGUGCCAAUGAGGUCAAGAUUCUUCCCCACUUUUUCUUCUAACAGGUUUAGUGUGUCUGGUUUUAUGUUGAGGUCUUUGAUCCACUUGGACUUCAGUUUUGUGCAGGAUGGAUAAAUAGGGAUCUAUCUGCAUUUUUCUACAUGUUGAUAUCCAGUUAGACCAGCACAAUUUGUUGAAGAUGGUAUCUUUUUUUCCAUUAUAUGGUUUUGACUUCUUUGACAAAAAUCAAGUAUCUAUAGGUGUAUGGGUUUAUUUCUGGUUCUUCUAUUUGAUUCCAUUGAACUAUUAUUUUGUUUCUAUGCCAGCACCAUGUAGUUUUAUUACUGUUGCUCUAUAGUACAGCUUGAGAUCAGAGAUGGAGAUACCUCCAGAAUAUUUGUUAUUAUACAGGAUUGUUUUAGCAAUUCUGGGUGUUUUUGUUUUUCCAAAUAAAAUUGAGAAUUGUUCCUUCAAGUUCUGUAAAGAAUUGUGUUACUAUUUUGUUGGGAAUUACAUUGACUCUGUAGAUUGCUUUUGGUAGGAUGGCUAUUUUCUAUAUGAACAAAAUUUAGUGCCAACAUACACACAUACACACACGGAUACAAAAAAAAUUUUAAAGCCAGAUCCUAUAUAAGUCAAGUACAUUUAAAGGAAAAUUUAGCUAUACUUGUUGUCCUAAAAAUAUUCCCAUUUGAUAUAGAAUUUCUACUUUGGGAAUCUGUCCUAUUGAAAAGACUAUGUGCAAUGAGCAAAAAGUACUGUUGUGUCUUGUAUCAUACUGUGAAGUAGGAACCAAUAUAUCCCUAAGAACAUAAUUUAAUGACUAACUAUACAUAUAGACCAGGCUUAAAAUGAACUCCACAGAAUACUAUACUGGAGCAGUUUUUAAGACACAGGACUGCAGUGGAAGAAAAAGACAAGAAACCAUCAAAAAUGUGCACUUAGCCAUAGAAACAAGUAUGUCUCUAUAAAAGUGCACAAAUAUGCAGGCACAAAGACAAAAGAAACUUCUUUAGAUGAUGAAUGAUAGACACCAAGUUAUGUGGAUGGUAAUUUCUAAGGACACAAGUCAAUGUGCACAUUGCCACUGAUGUAGAGAACUCAUCCCACAGUUCCCCCCGUUGCUAUCUUGGGCUAUACUAUGCCAUAAAAGCUGUACAGAAUUCGAAGAAAGAGCGAUUGUCAUCCUACCCCCAAAAUGAGCAUGCUCUGCAUCAACUACAUAAUACAGAAACUAUCAAGAUUAUUUUUACACUCAUUCAGAGUUGUUUGGCCUAGACAUACAAUGUUAUAUAAGAUAUUAAUUAAUGCACAGUGUGGAUUUACUCUUGAAAUAUAUGAAUAAGGAAUUCUUGUGGCAUAUUCAGAUAAUUUCAACUAUGGAGUAAGUUCUCUAUGUCAGUGACAAAAAUUACACAUAUACACACACCCAGAAAUUCCCAUAGCAGAUAAUGUGGUGUCUAUUAUUUAAGUUAAUUUGUGUGUAAACUGUAAACUAAUUCCUUUAGUAAAUCAUCUACCUUAUAGGA